RNAcentral lists this ribosomal RNA (253 nucleotides) under uncultured bacterium. RNAcentral describes it as "partial 16S ribosomal RNA". It matches the Rfam family "Bacterial small subunit ribosomal RNA", at positions 524 to 776 of the family's 1533-position model. The record is from RNAcentral.
UACGUAGGUGGCAAGCGUUAUCCGGAUUUACUGGGUGUAAAGGGAGCGUAGACGGCAAUACAAGUCGGAAGUGAAAUACCCGGGCUUAACCUGGGAACUGCUUUGGAAACUGUAUGGCUGGAGUGCUGGAGAGGUAAGCGGAAUUCCUAGUGUAGCGGUGAAAUGCGUAGAUAUUAGGAGGAACACCAGUGGCGAAGGCGGCUUACUGGACAGUAGCUGACGUUGAGGCUCGAAAGCGUGGGGAGCAAACAGG